CCUACGGGCGGCUGCAGUGGGGAAUAUUGGACAAUGGGGGGAACCCUGAUCCAGCCAUGCCGCGUGUGUGAAGAAGGCCCUCGGGUUGUAAAGCACUUUCAGUGAGGAAGAACGCCUGGUGGUUAAUACCCAUCAGGAAAGACAUCACUCACAGAAGAAGCACCGGCUAACUCCGUGCCAGCAGCCGCGGUAAUACGGAGGGUGCGAGCGUUAAUCGGAAUUACUGGGCGUAAAGCGCGCGUAGGUGGCUUGAUAAGCCGGUUGUGAAAGCCCCGGGCUCAACCUGGGAACGGCAUCCGGAACUGUCAAGCUAGAGUGCAGGAGAGGAAGGUAGAAUUCCCGGUGUAGCGGUGAAAUGCGUAGAGAUCGGGAGGAAUACCAGUGGCGAAGGCGGCCUUCUGGGCUGACACUGACACUGAGGUGCGAAAGCGUGGGUAGCAAACAGGAUUAGAUACCCUAGUAGUC
This 465-nucleotide ribosomal RNA is filed under the name Vreelandella stevensii. RNAcentral describes it as "partial 16S ribosomal RNA". It matches the Rfam family "Bacterial small subunit ribosomal RNA", at positions 338 to 795 of the family's 1533-position model. Lineage: Bacteria; Pseudomonadati; Pseudomonadota; Gammaproteobacteria; Oceanospirillales; Halomonadaceae. The record is from RNAcentral.